Molecule: ribosomal RNA, 253 nt
Filed under: uncultured bacterium
Lineage: Bacteria
Description: partial 16S ribosomal RNA
Rfam family: Bacterial small subunit ribosomal RNA
Source: RNAcentral
UACGAAGGAUUCGAGCGUUAUCCGGAUUUAUUGGGUUUAAAGGGUGCGUAGGCGGACUGAUAAGUCAGUGGUGAAAGCCUGUUGCUUAACAACAGAACUGCCAUUGAUACUGCCAGUCUUGAGUACAGUUGAGGUAGGCGGAAUGUGUCAUGUAGUGGUGAAAUACUUAGAUAUGACACAGAACACCGAUUGCGAAGGCAGCUUGCUAAACUGUAACUGACGCUGAGGCACGCAAGCAUGGGGAGCAAACAGG